AGUGAAGGUCAAAUUUCUGUAUUUUGUCUUUUCUACCAUGAAGGAAGUGGUACGAUGCCUAGUAAGCACCGUUUAACUUGGGAGGUAAUGUAUACUUCAUUCAGAUUCACUGCACUGAAUUCAACAGUGUUCCCUGCCUUCCCUGGGGCUGCCAAGCCCUUGCUGCACAGGAGAUUUUACAGCUGAAAUGAAGAUAUGCUGCACAAAUUCAGCUAAAACACAAAGGCGAACAAGUGAAGAGGACAAAUGGUUGCAUUUUGAAUUGGUGAAUUUUAUAAACAGACUCAUAUAUUGGCUUUGAUUUUGAGGAAAUUGGUUUAUCUGAGAAGUUCUAGAAGGUUAACCCGAUAGAAAGACGCUUUCCAGGCAAUUUUUCUUCGAAUAAAAAAACCCCUUUAACGUCCUAUUAUUAUUUAUAACUAGUGCUACAAAUGUGAGUUAUCUUUGCUUUAAUAGCAUAUCAAUGUGACUCUCUCAUAAUUCCUAAUGAUUUAAGACCCUAGAGGUUUCCAAGAUCAUUGAGUGAAAUUUGAAAAACAGUUAACACAAAAGAGCAGGAGGUAGUCCUGUGCGGGAUGCUUAAUUAAAACUUUUCUCGGAGAGAAAGAAAAAUUAAUUCUUUUCAUUUGCAGCAAUGAACUUAUUUUUUCCCCCCCAAGUCUUAAAGUCACCAACCAGAAGUUUAGCUAUUUUGCUAAAAGCUUUCUACAUAUUUAGUAACUUAAUGAUAGACUCUAAAAUAUUUGCCAGGAGAAUAUGCCAACUUUUCUCCUAGUCCAAAUAUGGGUGCUUCAUAGAUGGUACUAGACAUUCACCUUAGUCCAGACGCACUUUUAUAUGUGGAAAUAGCUUCUUUUGGUCAUAAAAUUUCAUUUGGGGUGUGCUUUGGAGUUUGUUUUGUUAUCUCACCAUGUUUUCAGUUAGAAAGACAAGUUGUUCCUCCCUAUCUCCAAUCUAGAUCCUUAGUUCAGCUGAUAGUCUACUCAGAUAAUUUGGUGUCAUGAUUUUGAUUAUAUUGCCUACUUAUUAUAAUAAAUCACCUUUGAGUAAUAA
This is a non-coding RNA of Ictidomys tridecemlineatus (thirteen-lined ground squirrel), 1053 nucleotides long. Lineage: Eukaryota; Metazoa; Chordata; Mammalia; Rodentia; Sciuridae. The record is from RefSeq and is a predicted model, not a curated record.